GACGUAGGGCGCGAGCGUUGUCCGGAUUUAUUGGGCGUAAAGAGCUCGUAGGCGGCUUGUCGCGUCGUCCGUGAAAACCUGGGGCUCAACUCCAGGCUUGCGGUCGAUACGGGCAGGCUCGAGUUCGGUAGGGGAGACUGGAAUUCCAGGUGUAGCGGUGAAAUGCGUAGAUAUCUGGAGGAACACCGGUGGCGAAGGCGGCAUCCUGGACCGGUAUUGACGCUGAGGAGCGAAAGCCAGGGGAGCAAACGGG
This 253-nucleotide ribosomal RNA is filed under the name uncultured bacterium. Its description in RNAcentral is "partial 16S ribosomal RNA". It matches the Rfam family "Bacterial small subunit ribosomal RNA", at positions 524 to 776 of the family's 1533-position model. The record is from RNAcentral.